Papaver somniferum (opium poppy) is the source of this 620-nucleotide long non-coding RNA. RefSeq lists it as uncharacterized. NCBI's taxonomy places the organism in Eukaryota, Viridiplantae, Streptophyta, Magnoliopsida, Ranunculales, Papaveraceae. The transcript has 2 exons. The record is from RefSeq and is a predicted model, not a curated record.
UGCAACACCCAUUCCUUCUUUUUCUUCUUCUCCUGCAUGCUCGAUUCCUCCAAACCCUGACCAUCCAACACCUUCCCAACACACAGCAGACAUCCCCCUUCCCUAGUUCUGCCUUUCUUGUUCUUAGCAUCGACAGUUCUAGAUGCUACAAACAAGACAGGCAAAGCUAGGGUUCGCAGUUGCAGAGAAGACCUAUUUGGGAAGAUUCCGAGUAGCAGAAGCAAGACAAAGCAUGGGUCGAAGAGUGAGAGAAAAUAUCAGAAAAGAGGUACCACUGGUGCAUUGUUGCAGCUUUGGUGCAUUGCUGGUGCUGUGGAGUUGAAACUGUGAAGCUGCUGGUGCUAGGAGCUGCUGCUGUUGCUGCCAAGGCCCUGCUGGGCUGUUCACAAGCCAAGAGAGCCAAAAAACAGAAGCUGGGUUUCCCUUGCAUAAAAAAUCUAAGCCUAAACCCAUUAAGUAAACCCAAUUUGUGGGCUUUGUUUUAGACCAUUUAUCUUGGGCUUGUAAUUAAAUCUAAAUAGUGGGCAUGUUUUAAACACCCACCUGGGCUUGUAAUUCAAAAAAGAAUAACUUGUUAGCUGGGCUCAAGCCCAUUGAACAGAGCCUUAGGCCUGUUUCCC